UAUCGUAUGCGCGCGUUCGGUGCCCGCAGUCGCAUUCGCGACGGCGGUUAAACGGGAAACAGGAAGCGGCGCGCCGCCAGCCUGUGCUGUCCCCGCAACGGUACGCCGCCGGCGGAUCGCGCAAGCGGGACGCGCAGGCCGACUCGAGCCACUGCCGAUCGCGGCGGGAAGGCGUCGGCAUGACAGGCGGCCAGCCCGGAUACCGGCCGACGCAGACGGCGAGCC
RNAcentral lists this non-coding RNA (225 nucleotides) under Burkholderia gladioli. The record is from RNAcentral. Lineage: Bacteria; Pseudomonadati; Pseudomonadota; Betaproteobacteria; Burkholderiales; Burkholderiaceae.